This 2099-nucleotide long non-coding RNA is filed under the name Sus scrofa (pig). Its description in RNAcentral is "lncRNA (ENSSSCG00025047055.1)". Lineage: Eukaryota; Metazoa; Chordata; Mammalia; Artiodactyla; Suidae. The record is from RNAcentral.
CUGGGGCAACCAGGUCUCUAGGUGACCUUGGCUUCCCCCGGGGGUUGCAUACACGAGAGUGCUGUCCAUCUCCCCACCUCCACAGCCCAGCAGCCUUCCCUGACUCCUGUCCCCAUCUCUGGGCUCAGUCUACCUUCAGUCCCCCCACAUCCCCCCCGUGAAAGAGGUCUGGACCGAGGGUGGCGCUCAGCAUCUGACUGUCUAGAGCACAGAGCUCCAAUGAACUUGCUCUUCCGUUCUCCAUUAGGAUGGGCCCGUGACCUCACCAUACUGCCCUGAACUCUCCAAACUGGGUCUUUACUGGUCAACAGAUGUGCUUCUUUAUCAAUUACCCCUUGUCUCACUCUAGUCCUCUCUGUACAGAUCAGAUUUACUGAGAUAUCCAAUCACAGAGUCGUCCCUCUUCCUGACAUCACCCAUUCCCGGAACCCAUUCUGGUGGGUGAAUGAACCUCCGCUUCUCUAGCUCUUUAUAAGCCAAGCAAAGUACAAAUCCUAUAACAGCUUCUAUCUAAUCCUCUCCUACUGAAAGUCCCCGUGGUUCCCUAUGGUGAGCCUCUGCCUCUCUCCAGUAAGUCAUAAACCCAGCUGGUUCAUACAGGUGAGUUCCUGGUGGUCUUUCCUGGAAUGCAUUGGCACUCUUACCCGGUAGUAUGGAAAAAUCUGGGCUGGGGAGUUCUGAGAAAGCAUUGAGAUAGUAUCUGCCCAUGUAAGUGGUUUGUGUUCGUCUGUUUCUCCGCAAUUCACCUUGCAUCCUUUUUGCAAACCCUGAGGCCAGAUUGCAUCUGUGCUGAGCAGAGCUUUGCUGAAGGCCUGUUAGAACCUUGACCUCUCUCAAAGGGGCAGACCCAGCUCAAGCAUUUCUGGACACUUGCCUUGUCAGCCAGUCUUGCUUUCCUAAUCGAGCCCCAGCUCUGCCACUGCUUCAGGGAGGCAGGUGUGACAUUGUGAAGGCCACUGUCAGGUGCAUCCUGGCACUCCGGUCUCAUUUUAAAUGAUGCAGUGACCACUGGGCCAAUUAAGUUCAGAAAUUUUACACUGUGAAUGCAUAAUAUCAAAGUGAUUUUAAAAUGUCUUAGGCUUUCUUGAAUUUGACUUUGAAAUUCACAAUUUCUGAUAUACAUAAGUAGUACCUAUUUUCGCCCAAGCUACAAGGCAGCUGAGAGGCAUGACCCACACCCUUGUCCUAUGCCUAAUGAAUUCAGUCAGGAAAGCUUGGUCCUCACAGUACCCAAUAUUCCUGUUAAAAGGAAUUAGUAGGGAGCUCCCAUUGCAGUGCAGAGGAAAUGAAUCUGACCAGUAUCUAUGAAGAUACAAGUUCCAUUCCUGGCCUCAUUCAGGUUCAAACCCACAACCUCAUGGUUCCCAGUCGGAUUCGUUAACCACUGAGCCAUGACAGGACUCCCUAAUUCUAUGAAUUCUAAUUCUAGUUUAAUUCUAUGAAUUCUAAUGAAUUCUAGUUAUUUAUAUCUUUGGCUAGUUUCCCAAAUAGUUUGAACUACUUUUCCGAGACAUAUUUUAAGAAAGUAGGAUUAAAUAAUUAGAAACACACAGGCACACAACAGAGGGGAAAUCAGAGCAGCAAGCGCCCCAGAGAGAGGCGCUCUGGGACUGUCUCCCAACCCUUCCCAGCUCUUCCAACCAGCUCAAUCCCACAUCGCCCUCCACCCACCUUCCCGACCUCCCACACCCCCAGACCAUUGUCCCUCUGCAGAACUCCUCUCCUAAACUCUGUUAGUCACCACGAGAAACUCCAGAGCCCCCAGGUCAUCCCUGGGGUCAUAUUCCGUAUCCUCCUGGGGAAUCUGUUCCCCUUUCUCAUCCUUCGCAAAACUCCCCUCUGGAAUCCAUCAGCAAAACCUCAUUCUCUUCUCCCAUCACCUUGUGCAAUAACUCCCCUGGGACCCUCUCAAGAGAGACUGCCUCCCUGAACCCAGUCCUCCCUGAACCCCAUCCUCCCUGCCUCCCUCUGCUGCUUUGAUACCAGGCCCCUUUCCGCUUCCCCAAACUCCCAGCUUCGAAUUUCACAUCAUGAAACUCAAUCACCUGCCAACCUUCAUUUCUGGAGCUCUGACCACUGGCACACAUUUCUGAACCUGA